Molecule: long non-coding RNA, 986 nt
Filed under: Capsicum annuum
Lineage: Eukaryota; Viridiplantae; Streptophyta; Magnoliopsida; Solanales; Solanaceae
Description: long non-coding RNA (CANN_LNC001102)
Source: RNAcentral
GGGUAUUUAUACAAUACAUCGAAAUACUAAAAUUCUAAUCAAAAUGAAUAAUAAAAAUAGGAUCGAUGACUACUUAAAGGCCCACUUACAUGAUGUAAGCGAUACUUAUGGGCCCCAGUGGGUUGUAACUGUCAGAAAAUCUCCAGAUCAUCAGAAUGCUACCCACGAUGGUACUUACAGCGGAGUAAGUGGUAAUUAUGCCCCGUAAGUGACCUCAUAACUUUCAGGCAAAGUAUUCAAUUUCAGAACCUUGAAUCUCUCAAACUUUUGUGGCCACUAACGGUGGCCGUAAGUGGCACUUUCAUGUUGUAAGUGCCCUCCGUCAAUUUUAGAAUAAAUUUUAACUUUUAGCUUCUCAGGACUAUCUCCUCUAAGAGUUACGAGACCACUUACGGUGGUCAUAAGUGGAACUUACGACCCAUAAGUGGUCUGCUAAGUAGGGCUUUCUACAAAAUUCAACUUUUUUUCUUCUUUUAAUCUCCAAAAGCUAGUUUGCUGCAAACAUAAACACAAAAACACAUCAUAUCUAUCAAAAUAGACCUAAGUACAUGUAUAUUUUAAGGUUUUAAGCAUCGAAAGUGCCAUGAAACUAUAACACAUCAGUAAUAAAUCUCAGGGAUACAAUUAAGUACAGAAUACAAGUCAACUCAAAUCUCAGUAAAACACACCAGAGAACUCAAGUCUCAUAGAAAACCUUAUAUAUUCUUUUGAAGAAGAAUUUAUUCAAUAUUGAAACUUCGGGAUCAUUUCUUUGGAAUUAUUCAUUGGAUUAAUCAUUUUGUAUCACUUUUUUAUAAGUUUCUUUAUUAUUAUUAUUAUUAUUAUUAUUAUUAUUAUUUUAGUACUACUAGUAUUACUACUGCUGCCGCCACUGCUGUUGCCGCCACCACUGUUGUUGCUGUCGCCGCUGCUAUUGUUGAUGCUGCUACUGCUGCUGCUCCUGCUCCUGUUGCUGCUAUCAGUAUUCAACUUUGGCCAAAUUGCUU